UGCAGUCGAACGAUGAACCACUUCGGUGGGGAUUAGUGGCGAACGGGUGAGUAACACGUGGGCAAUCUGCCCUGCACUCUGGGACAAGCCCUGGAAACGGGGUCUAAUACCGGAUACUGAUCCUCGCAGGCAUCUGCGAGGUUCGAAAGCUCCGGCGGUGCAGGAUGAGCCCGCGGCCUAUCAGCUAGUUGGUGAGGUAACGGCUCACCAAGGCGACGACGGGUAGCCGGCCUGAGAGGGCGACCGGCCACACUGGGACUGAGACACGGCCCANACUCCUACGGGAGGCAGCAGUGGGGAAUAUUGCACAAUGGGCGAAAGCCUGAUGCAGCGACGCCGCGUGAGGGAUGACGGCCUUCGGGUUGUAAACCUCUUUCAGCAGGGAAGAAGCGAAAGUGACGGUACCUGCAGAAGAAGCGCCGGCUAACUACGUGCCAGCAGCCGCGGUAAUACGUAGGGCGCAAGCGUUGUCCGGAAUUAUUGGGCGUAAAGAGCUCGUAGGCGGCUUGUCACGUCGGUUGUGAAAGCCCGGGGCUUAACCCCGGGUCUGCAGUCNAUACNGGCAGGCUAGAGUUCGGUAGGGGAGAUCNGAAUUCCUGGUGUAGCGGUGAANUGCGUAGA
This 621-nucleotide ribosomal RNA is filed under the name Streptomyces viridosporus. Its description in RNAcentral is "bacterial SSU rRNA". It matches the Rfam family "Bacterial small subunit ribosomal RNA", at positions 56 to 694 of the family's 1533-position model. The record is from RNAcentral. Lineage: Bacteria; Bacillati; Actinomycetota; Actinomycetes; Kitasatosporales; Streptomycetaceae.